This 694-nucleotide ribosomal RNA is filed under the name Streptomyces sp. CW17. RNAcentral describes it as "bacterial SSU rRNA". It matches the Rfam family "Bacterial small subunit ribosomal RNA", at positions 79 to 759 of the family's 1533-position model. The record is from RNAcentral. Lineage: Bacteria; Bacillati; Actinomycetota; Actinomycetes; Kitasatosporales; Streptomycetaceae.
UUGCUCUUCGACGUUAGCGGCGGACGGGUGAGUAACACGUGGGCAACCUACCUUAUAGUUUGGGAUAACUCCGGGAAACCGGGGCUAAUACCGAAUAAUCUAUUUCACUUCAUGGUGAAAUACUGAAAGACGGUUUCGGCUGUCGCUAUAAGAUGGGCCCGCGGCGCAUUAGCUAGUUGGUGAGGUAACGGCUCACCAAGGCGACGAUGCGUAGCCGACCUGAGAGGGUGAUCGGCCACACUGGGACUGAGACACGGCCCAGACUCCUACGGGAGGCAGCAGUAGGGAAUCUUCCACAAUGGGCGAAAGCCUGAUGGAGCAACGCCGCGUGAGUGAAGAAGGUUUUCGGAUCGUAAAACUCUGUUGUAAGGGAAGAACAAGUACAAUAAUAACUGGCUGUACCUUGACCGUACCUUAUUAGAAAGCCACGGCUAACUACCUUCCAGCAGCCGCGGUAAUACGUAAGUGGUAAGCGUUGUCCGGAAUUAUUGGGCGUAAAACGCGCGCACGCGGUCCUUUAAGUCUGAUGUGAAAGCCCACGGCUCAACCCUGGAGGGUCAAUCGAAACUGGGGGACUUGAGUGCAAAAGAGGAAAGUGGAAUUCCAAGUGUAGCGGUGAAAUGCGUACAGAUUUGGAAGAACACCACUGGCGAACGCAACUUUCUGGUCUGUAACUGACGAUAAAGCCCGAAAG